AUUUAUNGGGCGUAAAGCGAGCGCAGGCGGUUAGAUAAGUCUGAAGUUAAAGGCUGUGGCUUAACCAUAGUACGCUUUGGAAACUGUUUAACUUGAGUGCAGAAGGGCAGAGUGGAAUUCCAUGUGUAGCGGUGAAAUGCGUAGAUAUAUGGAGGAACACCGGUGGCGAAAGCGGCUCUCUGGUCUGUAACUGACGCUGAGGCUCGAAAGCGUGNGGAGCGAACAGGAUUAGAUACCCUGGUAGUNCACGCCGUAAACGAUGAGUGCUAGGUGUUAGGCCCUUUCCGGGGCUUAGUGCCGCAGCUAACGCAUUAAGCACUCCGCCUGGGGAGUACGACCGCAAGGUUGAAACUCAAAGGAAUUGACGGGGGCCCGCACAAGCGGUGGAGCAUGUGGUUUAAUUCGAAGCAACGCGAAGAACCUUACCAGGUCUUGACAUCCCGAUGCCCGCUCUAGAGAUAGAGUUUUACUUCGGUACAUCGGUGACAGGUGGUGCAUGGUUGUCGUCAGCUCGUGUCGUGAGAUGUUGGGUUAAGUCCCGCAACGAGCGCAACCCUUAUUGUUAGUUGCCAUCAUUCAGUUGGGCACUCUAGCGAGACUGCCGGUAAUAAACCGGAGGAAGGUGGGGAUGACGUCAAAUCAUCAUGCCCCUUAUGACCUGGGCUACACACGUGCUACAAUGGCUGGUACAACGAGUCGCAAGUCGGUGACGGCAAGCUAAUCUCUUAAAGCCAGUCUCAGUUCGGAUUGUAGGCUGCAACUCGCCUACAUGAAGUCGGAAUCGCUAGUAAUCGCGGAUCAGCACGCCGCGGUGAAUACGUUCCCGGGCCUUGUACACACCGCCCGUCACACCACGAGAGUUUGUAACACCCGAAGUC
Molecule: ribosomal RNA, 878 nt
Filed under: uncultured bacterium
Lineage: Bacteria
Description: bacterial SSU rRNA
Rfam family: Bacterial small subunit ribosomal RNA
Source: RNAcentral